This 254-nucleotide long non-coding RNA is filed under the name Paramuricea clavata. Lineage: Eukaryota; Metazoa; Cnidaria; Anthozoa; Malacalcyonacea; Plexauridae. The record is from RNAcentral.
CGUGAUAUUGAAUAGAAAAUUCGAUUUCCCAAGAGUGCAAUGGAACACGUUCCAUUGCACUCUCCGCGAGUGCAAUGGAAUAAAACGUAUAGUACAAAUGCACUCUUUGUGUUUUCGAUAAAUCGCAUCCCUCAAAAUGCUUCUCAUACGAAUCUAUUAGUCUAUUUUGGUAUUAUAUAAAACAAAUAAUGAAUGUUUAUGAGUGCAAUGGUAAGAAUAUUUUCAUGAGGUGAAAGAUGGAAUGUUCCAUUCAA